UAAUCCGUGUUUUCCGGCAAAACCUUAAGGUUCUUUGGCGUUUGUUGUGACAACGUGCAAACAUGAGGAUGGGGAGACGAUUGUGAAGGCUUUUUAGCCAUUGAAGCUCUGAACUAAGCUGAUUUAAGCGGUUGUCGCAAAGAAGGAAUCAGGAUGAAAUUCGAAUCGUAGAAGGAGGAUAUGGCUUCAGGAUAUAGUAGGUAUUAACAGAAAAGAUGGGAAAAUUUCAGAAAACGCAAGGAAGAAGAAGAAGCGCGUGCACUAUACGCAGGCGCGUGAGGGCCGCGACUGGGCGUGCUCCUGGCGCGUGGGACAGACACACCGAGGAUGUGAGGGCGCGUGAAGCAUCAUUUCGGUUCCCGGUCUAAUUGGAAGGAAUUGUGUUGAAAUACCCUAUUAAA
Molecule: long non-coding RNA, 401 nt
Organism: Cucurbita moschata (crookneck pumpkin)
Lineage: Eukaryota; Viridiplantae; Streptophyta; Magnoliopsida; Cucurbitales; Cucurbitaceae
Exons: 3
Source: RefSeq, a predicted model, not a curated record